RNAcentral lists this long non-coding RNA (405 nucleotides) under Homo sapiens (human). RNAcentral describes it as "non-protein coding lnc-IFT20-5:3". The record is from RNAcentral. Lineage: Eukaryota; Metazoa; Chordata; Mammalia; Primates; Hominidae.
GGUAAACAGGCUCUGUAUCCGUGGCAGCGGCCGUGGCAGGCUGGCUGGGUACCGGCUGUCGCUGACCCAGGAGAAGCUGCCUGUCUACAUCAGCCUGGGCUGCAGCGCGCUGCCGCCGCGGGGCCGGCAGCUGAACUAUGUGCUCUUCAGGGCGGGCACCGUGUUGCAUUCAUCUUUGUACCCCCAGCAUCUAGCAGUGUUGGCAUGUAGUAGGCACUCAAGAAAUGUGUGUUGAAUGAACGAUGCCUGUGACAAGCAAGCGGACUUUAUUCUUUCCUGACCCUUGCUCCUAUGACACACCUCCUCCUGACUGCCACUGUCACUCCUUCAGAGCAGAACUCCUCUAGGGAACCUGGAUGGGAAACAGAGUCUUGCUGUGUCACCCAGGCUGGAGUGCACUGGUGC